CGAGGGGCGCGGCCGGCAGCCUGGGGGGACGGCUCCGCGAGCCGCGCGGGCUUCCCGGGGAGGCUUCGCUCUUUCGUAACAGCGAGAAAGCAGCCGGGCCGAUCUUUGUUCUUUUGAGACAAAGCCCCUGAACUUGGGUCCUGGCUUUGUUCAGGUAACAGGGCUGCUUUAGAGGAGGCGUGUGCCGAGUGAGGGCUUCACAGUGAGGCUGCUGUUUCAAAGGCUGUGAUUUCAAUCGCACUGCACCCAAGGUUUCUGGCCUUGGAUGGAAACUAGCUGUCAAUAAUUUCGCUGAAAUUUCGCAAAGGGAAAGGUCUAGAUCUAACGUCACAGCUAUCUUGCUACAACCCUGAGGAUGAAACCAGAACUGGAGAUGGCAGAACAGAGAGGUGGAAGCAAGCUGGAUCCCUGGUGACAUUACAGAGCCACUGUCCCUUUGUCCUAAGCUGACAGUCCACAUCAG
Otolemur garnettii (small-eared galago) is the source of this 463-nucleotide long non-coding RNA. RefSeq lists it as uncharacterized. Lineage: Eukaryota; Metazoa; Chordata; Mammalia; Primates; Galagidae. The transcript has 3 exons. The record is from RefSeq and is a predicted model, not a curated record.